This 2849-nucleotide small RNA is filed under the name Pan troglodytes (chimpanzee). RNAcentral's name for it is "sense intronic". Lineage: Eukaryota; Metazoa; Chordata; Mammalia; Primates; Hominidae. The record is from RNAcentral.
AUCAAAAAGCACACCUUGCAUGUCAUUAUAGGCUUCAUACUGGAGAGAAACCUUACAAGUGUAAUGAGUGUGGCAAGACCUUCAGUCAGAAGUCAUCCCUUGUGGGCCAUCGUAGACUUCAUACCGGAGAAAAACCUUACAACUGUCAUGAGUGUGGCAAGACCUUUGCUCGAAAUUCAUCCCUUCUAAUUCAUAAGGCAAUUCAUACUGGAGAGAAACCUUACAAGUGUAAUGAAUGUGGCAAGGUUUUUAAUCAACAAUCAAACCUUGCACAACAUCAGAGAGUUCAUACUGGAGAGAAACCUUACAGGUGUAAUGAGUGUGGCAAGACCUUCAGUCAUAUGUCAUCCUUUGUAUACCAUUAUAGACUUCAUACUGGAGAGAAACCUUACAAGUGCAAUGAGUGUGGCAAGACCUUCAGUCAUAUGUCAUCCUUUGUAUGCCAUCAUAGACUUCAUACUGGAGAAAAUCCUUAUAAGUGCAAUGAGUGUGGCAAAGCCUUUAGUGGGCAGUCAUCACUUAUUCAUCAUCAAGCAAUCCAUGGUAUAGGGAAACUUUACAAAUGUAAUGAUUCUCACAAAGUCCUCAGUAAUGCUACAAGCAUUGCAAAUCAUUAGAGAAUCCAUAAUGAAGAGAGAUCUUACAAGCGUAGUAAAUGUGGCAGAUAUUUCAGACAUUGUUCAUAGCUUGCAGUUCAUCAGUGAACUCAUACUGGAAAGAAACGUUACAAAUGUCAUGAUUGCAGCAAGGUCUUCAGUCAAGCUUCAUUUUAUGCAAAACACAGGAGAAUUCAUAUGGGAGAGAACCUCACAACUGUGACAAUUGUGGCAGUCAUUUUUUUUUUUCUUUUUUCAGAUGAAGUCUUACUCUUUUGUCCAGGCUGGGGUGCAGUGGCGUGAUCUCGGCUCACGGCAACCUCCACCUCCCAGGUUCAUACGAUUCUCCUUCCUAGCCUCCUGAGUAGCUGGGACUACAAGCAUGCUCCACCAAGCCUGGCUAAUUUUUAUGUUUUUAGUAGAGACAGGGUUUCACCAUGUUGGCCUGGUUGCUCUCAACUCUUGAUCUUGUGAUCCGCCUGCCUCGGCCUCCCAAAGUGCUGGUAUUACAGGCAUGAGCCACCACGCCCAGUGUGGCAAUGUCUUUACUUUACAUUCACACCGCAUUAGACAUCAGGGAAUCUAUACUGGACAGAAAUCUUACAAAUGGAAUAGGUGUGGCAAUGUCUUUAGUCUGAGGUCACUCCUUGCAGAACAGUAGAAAAUUCAUUUUUGAGAUAAUUGUCCCAAAUACAAUUACUAUAGAAAAUGACAAACUUUAAUUGACAUUAGAGUCAAUUCCGCAUUGACUAGAGUUUGAGUUGACUUAACAUUGAGUUCAAGCAUUAAUUGACAUAAAAAGUGUUUACGUUAAGAAGAAUGGGCAGGGUGUAGUUGCUCACACCUAUAAUCCCAGCACUUUGGGAGGCCAAGGCAGACAGAUCACUUGAGGUCAGCAGUUUGAGACCAGCUGGGCCAACAGACCUGAACCAGUUUGCCCAGCCUGUUUUUUCUUUCCUUCUUUCUUUCUUUUCUUUUCUUUUUUUUUUUUUUUUUUUUUUUUUUUGAGACAGAGUCUUUCUCUUGUCGCCCAAGCUGGCGUGCAAUGGCACAAUCUUGGUUCACUGCAACCUCCACCUCCUGCAUUCAAGCAAUUCUCUUUUCUAAGCCUCCCAAGUAGCUGGGAUUUCAGAUGUGUGCCACCACACCACAUAGUCCCUCUCCACAGAGAUGGUUGAGAAGGCUGAUGGAAAAGCCAGAUACUUGUUCUACAGGUUUCCCUGACACUAGUAUAUCAUCCACAUACUGGAGCAUAGAUAUACACUUUGGGAUGCUCAUCUUUUCUAACACCUCCUCAAGAAUUUGGCCAAACAAGUUAGGAGAAUCUGUAAAUCCUUGGGGUAAGACUGUCCGGCAGUAUUGUUGUUUUCACCCAGAGUGAGAAUCUUCCCAUUCAAAAGUGAAUAUAUCCUGACUAUCUUCAGCUAAAGGACAUGCCCAGAAGGCAUCUUUCAGGUCUAUUUCUGUAAACCACUGAUGGUCAUAUGGAAUUUUGCUGAGAAUAGUAUAUGGAUUGGGAACAACAGGAUGAGUGGUUUGAACAGUUUGAUUAAUGGCUUGAAGAUCUUCUACAAGCCAGUAUCACCAAUCUGACUACUUUACAAGUAAUAUUGGAGUAGUAUAGGGAGACAUGCACAGUUCAAGUAGCCCAUCUCAGAUAAGGCUCUCAAUUAGAGGUUUUAAACCUAAUCUACCUUCUAAGGGAAUUGGAUAUUGGUUUCUUUUCACUGUUUCCCUGGGAGUUUUUAACUUUAUGUGAAUUGGAGGAACUUGUAGCUUCCUUCAAUUUCCCUCCCUUGACCACUCAUUAGCAUUGAUGUAGCUUUCUUCUGCUGUAGUAAACAGGUUUAAUGAAGUGAAGAAUCCUUCUGGGCUUACAUGCAAGCCUAUACCUAACUUUGCCAUUAGGCCACUUCCUAACAAGUUUGUCCCAGCCUUAGGAAGUAGCAAAAAUUUAACAUUGGUUGAUCGGGUUUCAAAUCUGACUUCUGUUUUUUCUGAGACUUUGGCUUUAAAUCCUUGCCCUUUGACUCCUAAAACUUGAAGUUCUUCUAAUAAACAAUUUAUAUUAGAGGGCACAAAACAAACAGAGGAGUGGGAAGCUCCUGAGUCUAUUAGAAAAGUAAUAAGUUCGGCUGGGUGCCAUGGCUUACACCUGUAAUCCCAGCACUUUGGGAGGCCGAGGUGGGCGGAUCACCUGAGGUCGAGAGUUCGAGACCAGCCUGACCCACAUGGAGAAACCCCAUCUCUACU